CACGUAGGGUGCGAGCGUUGUCCGGAAUUACUGGGCGUAAAGAGCUCGUAGGUGGUUUGUCGCGUUGUUCGUGAAAUCUCACGGCUUAACUGUGAGCGUGCGGGCGAUACGGGCAGACUGGAGUACUGCAGGGGAGACUGGAAUUCCUGGUGUAGCGGUGGAAUGCGCAGAUAUCAGGAGGAACACCGGUGGCGAAGGCGGGUCUCUGGGCAGUAACUGACGCUGAGGAGCGAAAGCGUGGGGAGCGAACAGG
RNAcentral lists this ribosomal RNA (253 nucleotides) under uncultured bacterium. Its description in RNAcentral is "partial 16S ribosomal RNA". It matches the Rfam family "Bacterial small subunit ribosomal RNA", at positions 524 to 776 of the family's 1533-position model. The record is from RNAcentral.